UUAAAGCACAUUCUGCUCAGCGAACACAAACAGCCGCAGAAUUUUAUACUGUGCUAAGGUAGCAUAAUCACUUGUCUUUUAAUUUAAGAAUAGAAUGAACGGAAACCCGAAUUUUAGCCUGUUUCAUUUUUUUUUAAUAAAAUUAUCAAAAAGUAAAAACACUUUUCUCCACUAAAAAGACGACAAGACCCUAAAGAACUUUACUAAAGUUUUGCUGGGGCGGCAUUUUAAAAAAAUCUUACUUUAAUUCAAAAAUUCCUAAUUUUAUUAACAAGUUACCUUAGGGAUAACAGCAUAAUAUAAUUUAACAGCUCUUAUUCAAAAUUAAGAUUAUGACCUCGAUGUUGAAUUAAGCUUCUUUUAAACGAAAAUUUUUAACAAAGAAAGUCUGUUCGACUUUUAAAUACUUACACGAUUUGAGUUCAGACCGGUGAAAACCAGGUCGGUUUCUAUCUUUUUUAAAGAUGUACUAGUACGAAAGGACCAUACAACUCGCUA
Molecule: ribosomal RNA, 498 nt
Filed under: Dysdera cf. seclusa MAA-2007
Lineage: Eukaryota; Metazoa; Arthropoda; Arachnida; Araneae; Dysderidae
Description: partial 16S ribosomal RNA
Rfam family: Bacterial large subunit ribosomal RNA
Source: RNAcentral